UACGUAGGGUGCGAGCGUUGUCCGGAAUUAUUGGGCGUAAAGCGUGCGUAGGCGGUGGUCCAAGUCUGGUGUGAAAUCUCCCGGCUCAACUGGGAGGGUGCGCCGGAAACUGGGCCGCUGGAGUAUGGGAGAGGCAAGCGGAAUUCCAGGUGUAGCGGUGAAAUGCGUAGAUAUCUGGAGGAACACCCGUGGUGCAGACGGCUUGCUGGACCAUGACUGACGCUGAGGCACGAAAGCGUGGGUAGCAAACAGG
This 253-nucleotide ribosomal RNA is filed under the name uncultured bacterium. RNAcentral describes it as "partial 16S ribosomal RNA". It matches the Rfam family "Bacterial small subunit ribosomal RNA", at positions 524 to 776 of the family's 1533-position model. The record is from RNAcentral.